This 80-nucleotide non-coding RNA is filed under the name Actinobacillus minor NM305. RNAcentral's name for it is "Aggregatibacter sRNA 82". It matches the Rfam family "Aggregatibacter sRNA 82". Rfam says of the family: Validated by RT-PCR, expression down-regulated during growth. Blast search using Bacterial Small Regulatory RNA Database found isrK. Has Rho-independent terminator. Lineage: Bacteria; Pseudomonadati; Pseudomonadota; Gammaproteobacteria; Pasteurellales; Pasteurellaceae. The record is from Rfam by way of RNAcentral.
AUAAUGAUAGUCGCCUAAUGGCGAUUUUUUUAUAGCCGAAAUCUAGUCAAAUCAAACCUUUCAAAGGUACCCCCAAAUUG